CUGAUUAUUAUUUUGGAAAGUGACAGCUGGCAUAACUUGCUGCGAUAGAUAGAUUUGGGCUUGGUUCAGCCCAAUUGAGCCUGGUUGCUCCGUUGAAGAAAAUGAUUCGUAAAGAAAUGAAGUUGAUAAAGAAGAAGAUUGUAAAUCAAAAGACGGAGAAACAGAAGGAGAAGGAGAAGGAGAAGAAGCACUUUUAAUAAAAGGUGCA
Molecule: long non-coding RNA, 208 nt
Filed under: Solanum lycopersicum (tomato)
Lineage: Eukaryota; Viridiplantae; Streptophyta; Magnoliopsida; Solanales; Solanaceae
Description: partial TCONS_00192370
Source: RNAcentral